This 486-nucleotide ribosomal RNA is filed under the name uncultured bacterium. Its description in RNAcentral is "partial 16S ribosomal RNA". It matches the Rfam family "Bacterial small subunit ribosomal RNA", at positions 28 to 507 of the family's 1533-position model. The record is from RNAcentral.
GAUGAACGCUAGCGGCAGGCUUAACACAUGCAAGUCGAGGGGCAGCGCGGGAUAGCAAUAUCCUGGCGGCGACCGGCGGAAGGGUGCGUAACGCGUGAGCGACAUGCCCGUUGCCCGGGGACAACCGGUGGAAACGCCGACUAAUCCCCGAUGGGAUAUUGUGCCGCAUGGCACGAUAUUGAAAGUUACGGCGGCGACGGAUUGGCUCGCGUCCGAUUAGCUGGUUGGCGGGGUAACGGCCCACCAAGGCUGCGAUCGGUAGGGGUUCUGAGAGGAAGGCCCCCCACAAUGGGACUGAGACACGGCCCAUACUCCUACGGGAGGCAGCAGUGAGGAAUAUUGGUCAAUGGGCGGAAGCCUGAACCAGCCAUGCCGUGUGCGGGAAGGAGGCCCUAUGGGCUGUGAACCGCUUUUGCCUGGGGGCAAUAAGGGCGUCGCGCACGUCCGAUGAGAGUACCAGGCGAAUAAGCAUCGGCUAACUCCGUG